This 266-nucleotide long non-coding RNA is filed under the name Ananas comosus (pineapple). RNAcentral describes it as "long non-coding RNA (ACOM_LNC025991)". The record is from RNAcentral. Lineage: Eukaryota; Viridiplantae; Streptophyta; Magnoliopsida; Poales; Bromeliaceae.
CUCUCUCUAGCUUGUUUACGCAGUUCAUUGGGAAGUCGAGGGUCAAGCUCGCGUGGAGUCUUCGCUUGCUAGGAGGAUCGUUCGUGCGCGAGGAUCAUCUCGGGUGAACCGUUAGAGGUCUAGCGAGCACAUGGAGUUUCUCCUUUCGACUUCUUGUCGACAUUGGAUAAGCGAUCGAGGGGGGUUGAUGUUUACCGAAAUCGUCGGAUUUCUUUCUAAGUCGAGUGUCAGCAUGUAUGGUAUUAUGUGUAGUAUCAUGGUUAAUA